Molecule: ribosomal RNA, 1110 nt
Filed under: Escherichia coli
Lineage: Bacteria; Pseudomonadati; Pseudomonadota; Gammaproteobacteria; Enterobacterales; Enterobacteriaceae
Description: partial 23S ribosomal RNA
Rfam family: Bacterial large subunit ribosomal RNA
Source: RNAcentral
GUAAUAGCUCACUGGUCGAGUCGGCCUGCGCGGAAGAUGUAACGGGGCUAAACCAUGCACCGAAGCUGCGGCAGCGACGCUGAUGCGUUGUUGGGUAGGGGAGCGUUCUGUAAGCCUGUGAAGGUGUACUGUGAGGCAUGCUGGAGGUAUCAGAAGUGCGAAUGCUGACAUAAGUAACGAUAAAGCGGGUGAAAAGCCCGCUCGCCGGAAGACCAAGGGUUCCUGUCCAACGUUAAUCGGGGCAGGGUGAGUCGACCCCUAAGGCGAGGCCGAAAGGCGUAGUCGAUGGGAAACAGGUUAAUAUUCCUGUACUUGGUGUUACUGCGAAGGGGGGACGGAGAAGGCUAUGUUGGCCGGGCGACGGUUGUCCCGGUUUAAGCGUGUAGGCUGGUUUUCCAGGCAAAUCCGGAAAAUCAAGGCUGAGGCGUGAUGACGAGGCACUACGGUGCUGAAGCAACAAAUGCCCUGCUUCCAGGAAAAGCCUCUAAGCAUCAGGUAACAUCAAAUCGUACCCCAAACCGACACAGGUGGUCAGGUAGAGAAUACCAAGGCGCUUGAGAGAACUCGGGUGAAGGAACUAGGCAAAAUGGUGCCGUAACUUCGGGAGAAGGCACGCUGAUAUGUAGGUGAAGUCCCUCGCGGAUGGAGCUGAAAUCAGUCGAAGAUACCAGCUGGCUGCAACUGUUUAUUAAAAACACAGCACUGUGCAAACACGAAAGUGGACGUAUACGGUGUGACGCCUGCCCGGUGCCGGAAGGUUAAUUGAUGGGGUCAGCGCAAGCGAAGCUCUUGAUCGAAGCCCCGGUAAACGGCGGCCGUAACUAUAACGGUCCUAAGGUAGCGAAAUUCCUUGUCGGGUAAGUUCCGACCUGCACGAAUGGCGUAAUGAUGGCCAGGCUGUCUCCACCCGAGACUCAGUGAAAUUGAACUCGCUGUGAAGAUGCAGUGUACCCGCGGCAAGACGGAAAGACCCCGUGAACCUUUACUAUAGCUUGACACUGAACAUUGAGCCUUGAUGUGUAGGAUAGGUGGGAGGCUUUGAAGUGUGGACGCCAGUCUGCAUGGAGCCGACCUUGAAAUACCACCCUUUAAUGUUUGAUGUUCUAACGU